This is a long non-coding RNA of Eriocheir sinensis (Chinese mitten crab), 1643 nucleotides long. RefSeq lists it as uncharacterized. NCBI's taxonomy places the organism in Eukaryota, Metazoa, Arthropoda, Malacostraca, Decapoda, Varunidae. The record is from RefSeq and is a predicted model, not a curated record. The transcript has 3 exons.
UUCAAUUCGUAUACUUAUGUAAUAAAAUAGGCUUAGAGAGGACUAGUCAGUUUCUGAAAGAUAAUUAUGAUUUAGGAAAUUUUUUGAAGAAUGACAGAAAGGUGUUAACAUAUGCUUAUAGAAUGUUUAAAAUGCCCCCAUGUAUAAAAACAUUUUGUCAAUCUAGUCAAGGACUGACUUACAAGCAUUGUAUUUCUAAGAUAUGUGGCUAACUUAUUAAAUGCUACAAUGUGUGUGUGUAAAAAAUGUAGAGCAGUAGCAUGUAGCUUAUUCAUUUAUGGCGUGUGUGUGCAAUUAUAUGUAGUUAUUAAGAACAGGAUUUUUUUUUUUUUCGUGCGAUGUGACCGGGUGGGUGUGAGUUUGUUCACGCUUUCCUAUGUGUAAAAAAAAUGUAGAGAAGUAGUAUAUAGCUUAUUCAUUUAUGGCGUGUGUGUGUAGUUAUAUGUAGUUAUUAAGAACAGGAUUCUGUUUUUUUUUUCGUGCGACGUGACCGGGUGGGUGUGAGUUUGUUCACGCUUUCCUAUUGUUCGGAUGAAGAAUGGCUUGUGGUUUUGGGCAUGUGCGCGCGUGUUUGCAUACAUGUGUGGGCGUGUCCCCUAUAACCUGGGGUAGCCUCGGAAGAAGAAAAGGCUUGUGGUAGUGUGCGCAUAUGCCCCAAAUAACCCCGGGUAGCUUAGUCAGUCCCCUAACGUUGCGAGAGGAGCGUCAUGGAGGAAGUCUUCGCCGUCAUGAACUUACAACAACAACAACAACAACAACAACAACAACAGCCCCACGCUGCCGCUGCAACUCUUCAUGCUGACGAUGUUGACGAUCAGAUAAUGGGUCAAGCCGCAUUAGAAGUUGAAGCCAUGGAUAACACAUCCCAAGCUGAAGCCGUGGAUAACACAUCACAUCCCAGAAACGGAGCGGAUGUUGGUGGUGGUGAGGUGGGGGAUGUUCCAGAAACUCCCAAGUCUACCGGUGAACAUAUCACGGGCGAGUCAUUGGGCAACAACAACCGCGGCGCGUUGGGAGGUGUCGGUAAAAUGGGGCGGUGUGUGCUGAGGGAAGGAUGUGAUACCUCCAUUACCAGUGUCUCAUCUGAAGAACGACCCACCGGACAGCGUAACGCAUAUCCACGGCAACAACAACAGACACGCUUCGGUGAUGGUGUGUCUUGACUCUCCGUCGGGCGCUGAAUCGCGAGAGCGGCGGCGAAGUCGUCUGCAGCAAAAAGAUCAUGAAAUGCGUCAAUCACGACUGGAAAAAAAAAUGCAGCAUAUGGCGGAAGUGUUGCGGCCGCGCCCACUUCUGACUUGACAUACCCCGCUUGACCUUUCUUGGAAGUGUCAUAGGCGGGGUGGGUGGUGGGGAAGUUACUAAAAUCCAUUAUGGAUUUUAUGAGUGGAAGCGAAUAAAAUUCACUAAUGUCUUGGAAGUUAGAGAUGCAUAUGGUGGCCGAAUCUGUGAGAGUCCUAUAUUUAGUGCUUAACAAUCUUUUUUUAUAUAUGUACUCGCUCUGUGUGUAUUAUUUUUUAUAUAUAUAUGUGCUUGUGUUGUGUAUUUUUUUUCUUCAUUUGUAUAUGUACUCGUGUUGUCAUCCUUUUAUGGGCUGUCUUUGGGCAUGUACGACAUAAGUUUGUAAUAUGUCUCUUUCAAUU